GGCAAGGCUCAGUCAGAGAAAAGACAAGGGGAAAAUAAAAGAAAACAGAAUUCUCCAAUUCCCAUCCUCCUUCAAGCCUCCUGCUUCGUACCUAUGCCCAGAAAGGAAGUCUUUGCUGCUUCUGAAACUGCAUAGAUGGCUCCUGCACUGCCAGCUUCUCCAGUGUCUAGAGAGGUGUUCCCCAGAAGAGCUAACUGAGGAGGGAAGGUGUGGAGGCACCAUAGCACAGGCUCGUGUCCAGGAUGAAUACAAAGGGCGUGGUGAGGCGAACACCACAGUCUCUGCUUCCUGAAUGCAGAUACAAGUGACCAGAGAACAGGAGAGGACAUUGGAUCCCUGGAACUGGAGUUCUAGGUGGUUGUCAGCUGACACAUAGGUGCUGGUAACCAAAUCUGGGUCCUCUGGAAGGGCACCCAGU
Long non-coding RNA from Mastomys coucha (southern multimammate mouse), 418 nucleotides. RefSeq lists it as uncharacterized. The record is from RefSeq and is a predicted model, not a curated record. The transcript is spliced from 3 exons. NCBI's taxonomy places the organism in Eukaryota, Metazoa, Chordata, Mammalia, Rodentia, Muridae.